RNAcentral lists this ribosomal RNA (37 nucleotides) under Aspergillus hiratsukae. RNAcentral's name for it is "partial 28S ribosomal RNA". Lineage: Eukaryota; Fungi; Ascomycota; Eurotiomycetes; Eurotiales; Aspergillaceae. The record is from RNAcentral.
UUGACCUCGGAUCAGGGGAUACCCGCUGAACUUAAUC